RNAcentral lists this ribosomal RNA (497 nucleotides) under uncultured bacterium. Its description in RNAcentral is "partial 16S ribosomal RNA". It matches the Rfam family "Bacterial small subunit ribosomal RNA", at positions 28 to 507 of the family's 1533-position model. The record is from RNAcentral.
GACGAACGCUGGCGGCGUGCCUAAUACAUGCAAGUAGAACGCUGAAGCGAGGAGCUUGCUCUUCUUGGAUGAGUUGCGAACGGGUGAGUAACGCGUAGGUAACCUGCCUUGUAGCGGGGGAUAACUAUUGGAAACGAUAGCUAAUACCGCAUAAUAAUGUAUGACACAUGUCAUUUAUUUGAAAGGGGCAAUUGCUCCACUACAAGAUGGACCUGCGUUGUAUUAGCUAGUAGGUGAGGUAAUGGCUCAACUAGGCGACGAUACAUAGCCGACCUGAGAGGGUGAACGGCCAAACUGGGACUGAGGCACGGGCCAAGCUCCUACGGGAGGCAGCAGUAGGGGAUCUUCGGCAAUGGGGGCAAAGCUGACCGGACAACGCCGCGUGAGUGAAGAAAGUUUUCGGAUCGUAAAGCUCUGUUGUAAGUGGAGAACGAGUGUGAGAGUGGAAAGUUCACACUGUGACGGUAGCUUACCAGAAAGGGACGGCUAACUACGUG